RNAcentral lists this ribosomal RNA (816 nucleotides) under Phacidium fennicum. RNAcentral describes it as "eukaryotic LSU rRNA". It matches the Rfam family "Eukaryotic large subunit ribosomal RNA", at positions 87 to 920 of the family's 3401-position model. Lineage: Eukaryota; Fungi; Ascomycota; Leotiomycetes; Phacidiales; Phacidiaceae. The record is from RNAcentral.
CGGCGAGUGAAGCGGCAACAGCUCAAAUUUGAAAUCUGGCUCUUUCAGGGUCCGAGUUGUAAUUUGUAGAGGAUGUUUCGGGUGUGGCUCCGGUCUAAGUUCCUUGGAACAGGACGUCAUAGAGGGUGAGAAUCCCGUAUGUGACUGGUAGCCUAUGCCCAUGUGAAACUCCUUCGACGAGUCGAGUUGUUUGGGAAUGCAGCUCAAAAUGGGUGGUAAAUUUCAUCUAAAGCUAAAUAUUGGCCAGAGACCGAUAGCGCACAAGUAGAGUGAUCGAAAGAUGAAAAGCACUUUGGAAAGAGAGUUAAACAGUACGUGAAAUUGUUGAAAGGGAAGCGCUUGCAACCAGACUUGCAUGUAGCUGAUCAACCGGUGUUCUCACCGGUGCACUCAGUUGCGUUCAGGCCAGCAUCGGUUUCGACGGUUGGAUAAAGGCCUUGGGAAUGUAGCUUCUCUCGGGAAGUGUUAUAGCCCAGGGUGCAAUGCAGCCUGUUGGGACCGAGGACCGCGCUUCGGCUAGGAUGCUGGCGUAAUGGUUGUAAGCGACCCGUCUUGAAACACGGACCAAGGAGUCUAACAUCUAUGCGAGUGUUUGGGUGUCAAACCCAUACGCGUAAUGAAAGUGAACGGAGGUGAGAACCCUUAAGGGUGCAUCAUCGACCGAUCCUGAUGUCUUCGGAUGGAUUUGAGUAAGAGCAUAGCUGUUGGGACCCGAAAGAUGGUGAACUAUGCCUGAAUAGGGUGAAGCCAGAGGAAACUCUGGUGGAGGCUCGCAGCGGUUCUGACGUGCAAAUCGAUCGUCAAAUUUGGGUAUAG